GGCAGGAUGGGAAUUGUUGAUCCUGGCUCAUCUCAGAGCGGAAGUGACGAACGGUUGCUCAGGCAACGCCCCCUCCCGGUGCACACUGGGAAGCGUAGUUCUCCCUCUCACACGCUGGCUCUAUUGGAGGAGGGGCCGUAACUCGUCAGUUCGCCGCGCCCCUCCCCGCUCCCUGAUUGGCGGAGAAAGCGCGGAACAGAGACUCGGCGCGUGGGAGCUGAGGACAGACAAGUCUGAGGAGCAGAGCAGGAGCUCUGGGAAGGAGAAGAGCAAUAUGAAGAUGGAGUGUAAGAUGAGGCCAGGUAACUUCUGUGGAGGGAGACAUGCUGGACAGGGCCUAGGAUUGGGGAGACAAUCAGUUGUGAGCCCCGGGCUCAGAAUUCUAAUUGUAGCUGUGAUGACAGAAUGGGAGGAGGGUUGAAGCUGAAGCCCUGGUGUGCGGGAGUAGCGAGAAGAGGAGCCUCACCACCAUUGCUUUUUCUUUUCCUCUUGUGUUGUGUUUCAUAGCAAGGGAAAAGAAGUCACGGGGACGGAGUCCAGCCCUGAGGUGAGAUGGAAAGUGAUCAAGAGCAGUGACAGCAUUGUUGAGGGGUGCAGGGCUCCAGGUAACUGGCAAUAUGGCGUGGGGUCAGAAGUUUACAUUCUCAGGCCUACGACUGCCUUUCGAGCUAAACAAUAUGUUCCUUUAAAGUUAGCAUGAGUACAUGUAAUCAUUUAUCAUUUUCUUGUGUUCUUUUGUUUAUGGUACAAGAUGUAUUCGAUCAAAGGAGGCGGGAGGUUAGUAGUAUGGGUUAAGGAUAUAGUUAAUUAAAAGAUCUGGUAGUUAAUGAAUUGUAAAUGAUGAAUUGUAGCACCUGUGAACAUCUUUGUAAACAAGUAAGGUAUAUAAGACAUGGCAAUGAAUAGUGAUGUGUGCAUGAUCUGAGAUUUUAUAUCUCCUUGCACCUUAUUUGACUCAAAUAAAGAUACUUGCUUCUCCA
RNAcentral lists this long non-coding RNA (980 nucleotides) under Gopherus agassizii (Agassiz's desert tortoise). Its description in RNAcentral is "lncRNA (ENSGAGG00000019614.1)". Lineage: Eukaryota; Metazoa; Chordata; Testudines; Testudinidae. The record is from RNAcentral.